AACGAACGCUGGCGGCAUGCCUAACACAUGCAAGUCGAACGAGACCUUCGGGUCUAGUGGCGCACGGGUGCGUAACGCGUGGGAACCUGCCCUUAGGUUCGGAAUAACUCCCCGAAAGGGGUGCUAAUACCGGAUAAUGUCUUCGGACCAAAGAUUUAUCGCCUUUGGAUGGGCCCGCGUUGGAUUAGCUAGUUGGUAGGGUAAAAGCCUACCAAGGCGACGAUCCAUAGCUGGUCUGAGAGGAUGAUCAGCCACACUGGGACUGAGACACGGCCCAGACUCCUACGGGAGGCAGCAGUGGGGAAUAUUGGACAAUGGGUGAAAGCCUGAUCCAGCAAUGCCGCGUGAGUGAUGAAGGCCUUAGGGUUGUAAAGCUCUUUUACCCGGGAUGAUAAUGACAGUACCGGGAGAAUAAGCUCCGGCUAACUCCG
Molecule: ribosomal RNA, 431 nt
Filed under: uncultured bacterium
Lineage: Bacteria
Description: partial 16S ribosomal RNA
Rfam family: Bacterial small subunit ribosomal RNA
Source: RNAcentral